This 776-nucleotide ribosomal RNA is filed under the name uncultured Neocallimastigales. Its description in RNAcentral is "partial large subunit ribosomal RNA". It matches the Rfam family "Eukaryotic large subunit ribosomal RNA", at positions 20 to 621 of the family's 3401-position model. Lineage: Eukaryota; Fungi; Neocallimastigomycota; Neocallimastigomycetes; Neocallimastigales. The record is from RNAcentral.
UACUAGAGUAGCACUCGCAUAUCAAUAAGCGGAGGAAAAGAAACUAAUCAAGGAUUCCCCUAGUAACGGCGAGUGAAGCGGGAAGAGCUCAAAUUUGAAAUCUUAAAGGGUUUCCCUUUACGAAUUGUAGUUUAAAGAAGUGUUUUCUGUUGAGGUUUUGGUAAAAGUUCUUUGGAAUAGGACAUCAUAGAGGGUGAGAAUCCCGUAUUUGACCUUUACUUUCAACUUUGUGAUACACUUUCAAAGAGUCGGAUUGUUUGGGAAUGCAGUCCAAAAUGGGUGGUAAAUUUCAUCUAAAGCUAAAUAUUGGCGAGAGACCGAUAGCGAACAAGUACCGUGAGGGAAAGAUGAAAAGAACUUUGAAAAGAGAGUUAAACAGUACGUGAAAUUGUCAAAAGGGAAGCGUUUGACACCAGUGUUGUUUUUCUGAAAAUCAAUUAAAGAACUGUUUAUGCUAAGUUGUUUAGACUUUAUCAGCUAACUGUUUAGUUUUAGGCUUUUCUUUAAUGCACUUUUCAGUUAACAAGUCAACAUCAAUUUCUUUUGCUGUAAAAAAGCUUGAGGAAGGUGGCUUGAGAUUCGUCUUAAGUGUUUAUAGCCUCUUGCCUAUGCAGUCGGAGAGAUUGAGGUCUGCAGCGUAGAUCCUUCGGGGCUAAAUGCAUUUGUGCUAAGUUAUAGCAUUUUAUAGACAACUUGUUGACUAAUGAUUUGUCUUGUAGCUUACUCGCUUAUGUUAUUUUACCUACGCUUAGGAUGUUGAGCGCAUGUCUCUCUCU